CCUACGGGAGGCUGCAGUGGGGAAUAUUGCUCAAUGGGGGAAACCCUGAUGCAGCGACGCCGCGUGAGUGAAGAAGUAUUUCGGUAUGUAAAGCCCUUUUAGCAGGGAAGAAAAUGACGGUACCUGACCAAGAAGCCCCGGCUAACUACGUGCCAGCAGCCGCGGUAAUACGUAGGGGGCAAGCGUUAUCCGGAUUUACUGGGGGUAAAGGGAGCGUAGACGGCAGGGCAAGUCUGGAGUGAAAGGCGGGGGCUCAACCCCCGGACUGCACUGGAAACUGCGAGGCUGGAGUGCAGGAGAGGUAAGUGGAAUGCCUGGUGUAGCGGUGAAAUGCGUAGAUAUUAGGAGGAACACCGGUGGCGAAGGCGGCUUACUGGACUGUAACUGACGUUGAGGCUCGAAAGCGUGGGGAGCGAACAGGAUUAGAUACCCCAGUAGUC
Molecule: ribosomal RNA, 440 nt
Filed under: uncultured bacterium
Lineage: Bacteria
Description: partial 16S ribosomal RNA
Rfam family: Bacterial small subunit ribosomal RNA
Source: RNAcentral